Molecule: ribosomal RNA, 207 nt
Filed under: uncultured bacterium
Lineage: Bacteria
Description: partial 16S ribosomal RNA
Rfam family: Bacterial small subunit ribosomal RNA
Source: RNAcentral
UGCGCAGGCGGUUAGGCAAGUUUGAUGUGAAAGCCCCGGGCUUAACCUGGGACGUGCAUUGAAUACUGCUUAACUAGAGUACGUUAGAGGGGGGUGGAAUUCCACGUGUAGCAGUGAAAUGCGUAGAGAUGUGGAGGAACACCGAUGGCGAAGGCAGCCCCCUGGGAUGAUACUGACGCUCAAGCACGAAAGCGUGGGUAGCAAACA